GGUUAACGCUGGCGGCGUGCCUAACACAUGCAAGUCGAACGGUUCUAAGCGCGAGCUUAGGAUAGUGGCGAACGGGUGAGUAAAGGGUAGGAAUCUACCCCUUGGACGGAGAUAGCUACUGGAAACGGUAGGUAAACUUCGAUAAGCCCGAGAGGGGAAAGUGGUGAGACAGCCGAGGGAUGAGCCUACUCUCCAUCAGGUAGUUGGUGAGAUAAAAGCUUACCAAGCCGAUGACGGAUAACCGGUGUGAGAGCAUGAACGGUCACAAGGGCACUGAGAGACGGGCCCUACUCCUACGGGAGGCAGCAGUGGGGAAUCUUGGACAAUGGGCGAAAGCCUGAUCCAGCGACGCCGCGUGGAGGAAGAAGUCCUUCGGGAUGUAAACUUCUGAACUAGCCGAAUAAAAGGACCUGUGGACACAACAGGAGAAGAAAGUAGGCUAGGAAAAGUACCCGGCUAACUACGUGCCAGCAGCCGCGGUAAAAGACUCUAAU
Molecule: ribosomal RNA, 494 nt
Filed under: uncultured bacterium
Lineage: Bacteria
Description: bacterial SSU rRNA
Rfam family: Bacterial small subunit ribosomal RNA
Source: RNAcentral